RNAcentral lists this ribosomal RNA (569 nucleotides) under uncultured archaeon. RNAcentral's name for it is "bacterial SSU rRNA". It matches the Rfam family "Archaeal small subunit ribosomal RNA", at positions 319 to 893 of the family's 1478-position model. The record is from RNAcentral.
GAUUCGGGGUGCAGCAGGCGCGAAAACUUUGCAAUAAGCGAAAGCUUGACAGGGCUAUCCCGAGUGCCAUCCGCUGAGGAAGGCUUUUACCCAGUCUAGAACGCUGGGGGAAUAAGGAGAGGGCAAGUCUGGUGUCAGCCGCCGCGGUAAUACCAGCUCUCCGAGUGGUGUGGAUGUUUAUUGGGCCUAAAGCAUCCGUAGCUGGCCAAGUUAGUCCCUUGUUAAAUCCACCGAAUUAAUCGUUGGAUUGCGGGGGAUACUGCUUGGCUAGGGGACGAGAGAGACAGACGGUAUUUUCGGGGUAGGGGUGAAAUCCUAUAAUCCCGGGAAGACCACCAGUGGCGAAGGCUGUCUGCUAGAACGCGCCCGACGGUGAGGGAUGAAAGCUGGGGGAGCGAACCGGAUUAGAUACCCGGGUAGUCCCAGCUGUAAACGAUGCAGACUAGGUGUUUGGACGGCCACGUGCCGUUCUAGUGCCGCAGGGAAGCUGUUAAGUCUGCCGCCUGGGGAGUACGAUCGCAAGAUUGAAACUUAAAGGAAUUGGCGGGGGAGCACAAUCACUAGUGAAU